Molecule: long non-coding RNA, 305 nt
Organism: Spinacia oleracea (spinach)
Lineage: Eukaryota; Viridiplantae; Streptophyta; Magnoliopsida; Caryophyllales; Amaranthaceae
Exons: 2
Source: RefSeq, a predicted model, not a curated record
UUAAUAUUUAUAAAAUAUCGAUUUUAGAUUAUUUGUCGAUUUAAUACUAAUUCAAUAAUUCGAUAUUUUGAAAGAAAUUGGACUCGGGGCUCAGGAAGGACGAUCCAUCAGACAGGAAGUAUAAAAACUACGGUUGAGGUACUGCUGGGGACCACGGAAACGAGUAGUGGCGAGGAUUUCACUAUUACCAAGUUCACCUAAGUUAAUGUUAAGUUGUAACAAGUUUCAGUAAAGAUUCGAGAUUAAGUUAUGUACUUUAAUUAAGGAAUUGAGAAGGAUGAUUAUGUGAAUUUUGGAGUUUAAUA